GUUUUAUUGCCUGGGCCACAUUGACUGGGGAGGAAUCGUCUUGGGCUGCCAACGAAAUAUAUAAUGUAGCUCAUUUCUCUGUCUGUGACCACAAAGGCAUUCCAGUAAGGAAGGUAAGAAAAAAGCAUCCAUCCAAACAUUUCUGAUACCAGCAAAAACACUUAUUAGUACAAGAAAACACUCCACCUUGUUGGUGUUCUGUUUUGGGCACACAAAAACCCACAAAAGCGAAAUCCCAAACGACUACAACUCUCUACCAAGCUCUCUGCCCUGCAGAAUUUUGCUUGCUGCCUAUGAAAGAGCAGGACCUGAAGGAGGGGAGGUUAUUGAUAGGGAAGAUGCCAUUAAUAUUUCUGGAAUUGUAAGAGCAUCUCAUGUGACUGCUAUUAUUAUAACAGCACUUACAAGCACUGCUGAACGUUAGGGAUUGAAAUACUGGUAGCUGUGUUUGAGGCUUUAUUUAUUAAUGCCUCUAAAAUGCUUUGAGAUCAUCAAUUAUAGGAUUUUUACAGGGAAAACUUUUAUACUGCCUGUAGCCAUGCUGGCCUCAGUCCUCAGCUGAAAGUUGAAACAGCAUGCUACGAUAAAAGCUGCCGUACUGUCCUGUAAUGUAAGUUAAUGCAAAAUAACCACAGGCCUCUCUAACUUCCACUGUGUGUGUCUACUUACACACACUGGCUGGAGUUUGUGAGGGUGUAUUGUGUCAGAGUCAAUCACAGCUUUUCGUCAGCCUCCAUGGCCUAUUGGCUCUGUGUAGCUGAGGCACGCCAGCAGCAGACUUUGCUUUCUUCUGCAUCAGCGAAGCUAACUGAAGGCUGGCAUUCUGCAUAACUCCAGAGCCCUCAAGAUGCUCAUACAGUUUUGUUGCUCUAUCCCAGUGCCACCUGCAUUGUAAGGAUGUUCUCAGCUUGUAUCAACACCACCACGUAUCCUACCAUUCUGUCCAUAAACUUUAUCUGUGGGAACAUGGCUUCAUGUCUGUGCUGGAGAUGACAAUCUGGCUUGGUAGAGGCAGCUAUAAAAAUCACUGCUCAUGAAUCAGUUAUUGGAAAUAAUCGUACUUUUUAUAAGCUCUGCUUUCAGAUGUUACCCUGGACUGUCCUUGACUUGGUGAGCGCCUGUUGCUUCCUCCUGCUCUCACUGAAUCGAGCUGAGACCUGGCACUGCACAUUAGCUGAAAGCCGUCCUUGUCUCCACCGCCUCAGCCACUCUCUCUUCUUAUACAGUCAACAUUACCUUGGUAACACAAACCUACCUGCAAUUUUCUCAUUACUACACACAUAUGGCAAAACCAAAAGUCAACAAUAUGGUGAGCUAUUCUGCAGGGGAUUUUUGGCAAACCCAAGCCUGGCGUGUGAUUAACAGCAAACCAUUUGAAAAGCAGUUCAACAUUUUGAGAAUAAUCACUUGCGCUGGCUUUUUUUUAUUGACUUGCAAAAUCAAACUACCUUAACUUGCCAAGAGUUCAGUCCUCCAGACACAAAGUAAGGGGAAUGCAUUUUAGAAACCUCAAUAAAUAAAUAAAUAAAUAAAUAAAUAACCUCCUCUAGUUAGCCAUUUAAUACAUAAUUAUUUAAGAUAAAAUAUCUCAAGAGAUUCCAGAAUGAGAAGGAAGCUCCCAGACUGCAGGAGUAGGAAAUGGAAUAUUCUUGGUACUGGCAGCAGAAGACAUCACUUGGCUUUUCUGGG
Molecule: long non-coding RNA, 1689 nt
Organism: Gallus gallus (chicken)
Lineage: Eukaryota; Metazoa; Chordata; Aves; Galliformes; Phasianidae
Source: Ensembl